AAACAUGGAAUUAUUUUGGCCAUUGAUUGAUCAUUGGUUUAAUCCAAAGGCCCAAAAGCAUUCUUUUGUUAUCUCCGUAUUCUCUUCUCAUUGGUUGAUCUUGCACAAGAAGGAUUAUCAUUUCUGACCACUGAUUUUUAAUCCAAUGGCUCAAAAACAUUCAUUUGUGAUUUCUUCUCUUUUCUCGUUGGCCAACUCUUAUCUUCUUCUCUCUUUUCCAUCCAGAAUUCACCACCACAAAGUCUUUCUUCUCCACUUCAAUCUGCAAAUACACAUGAGAUCCAAAUACACAUCACUCCUAUACGCUCCUCCUCUCCUCCUAUCCGGAUGGUCCUUCUCCUCCCUGAUGCCUACUCCGUGAAGCUUCCUCUGUGCUACUCCUCCGGUCGCCUUCUCCGUGAAGCCUCGUCCUCUGGUUCGGUGGCGAAGAUGAAGGCGUGAAAGGAGACGACGUCAUGAAGAAGGAAGAAGAAGAUGCAGCGGAGAUGACAGAGGAAGAAGACGAUGCGGCGGAGAUGGUGGUAGUGACGAACCAGACACGGAGGCAGAGGUGGAUGUGGUUCAGAGAAAGGUGUUUUGAGCCUGAGGCAUGAAGCACGAGGGGCGGAGCACGAGGACGCGGAAGCAAGACGUAGCAUAUGCGGUGGUGCUUGUGGAAGGCGGCGGAUUAGGUUUAGGAUUGGUUAAUUAGGUUUUGGUUUAAUGUGUGUUUACUUAGUGUUUGGUUUAAUUUGUUCUGGUUUAUUUUUUUUUU
Molecule: long non-coding RNA, 754 nt
Filed under: Brassica napus (rape)
Lineage: Eukaryota; Viridiplantae; Streptophyta; Magnoliopsida; Brassicales; Brassicaceae
Description: long non-coding RNA (BNAP_LNC013175)
Source: RNAcentral